Molecule: ribosomal RNA, 158 nt
Filed under: Styphnolobium japonicum (Japanese pagoda tree)
Lineage: Eukaryota; Viridiplantae; Streptophyta; Magnoliopsida; Fabales; Fabaceae
Description: 5.8S ribosomal RNA
Rfam family: 5.8S ribosomal RNA
About the family: 5.8S ribosomal RNA (5.8S rRNA) is a component of the large subunit of the eukaryotic ribosome. It is transcribed by RNA polymerase I as part of the 45S precursor that also contains 18S and 28S rRNA. Functionally, it is thought that 5.8S rRNA may be involved in ribosome translocation.
Source: RNAcentral
AUGACUCUCGGCAACGGAUAUCUCGGCUCUUGCAUCGAUGAAGAACGUAACGAAAUGCAAUACUUGGUGUGAAUUGCAGAAUCCCGUGAACCAUCGAGUCUUUGAACGCAAGUUGCGCCCGAAGCCAUUAGGCCGAGGGCACGCCUGCCUGGGUGUCA